GGGGGAGGAGACAGGGAUACUGGAGUGAUGGAGGUAGAUAUGUAUAGGGGUAAGGAGACAGGGAUACUGGAGUGAUGGAGGUAGAUAUGUAUAGGGGGAGGAGACAGGGAUACUGGAGUGAUGGAGGUAGAUAUGUAUAGGGGGAGGAGACAGGGAUACUGGAGUGAUGGAGGUAGAUAUGUAUAGGGGUAAGGUGACAGGGAUAUUGGAGUGAUGGAGGUAGAUAUGUAUAGGGGGGAGGAGACAGGGAUACUGGAGUGAUGGAGGUAGAUAUGUAUAGGGGGGAGGAGAGGGAUACUAGAGUGAUGGAGGUAGAUAUGUAUAGGGGGGAGGAGACAGGG
Long non-coding RNA from Oncorhynchus tshawytscha (Chinook salmon), 341 nucleotides. The record is from Ensembl. NCBI's taxonomy places the organism in Eukaryota, Metazoa, Chordata, Actinopteri, Salmoniformes, Salmonidae.